This is a non-coding RNA of Vicia faba (fava bean), 279 nucleotides long. NCBI's taxonomy places the organism in Eukaryota, Viridiplantae, Streptophyta, Magnoliopsida, Fabales, Fabaceae. The record is from the annotation of a GenBank genome assembly.
AUGAACAUCAAUCUCACUAUCAUUUAUGGCCCAAUAUUCCUAACCCUAACACAGUCAUCUACAUUGGCACUGCAACUCAAUCGGAUAGUAGCCGCGGUUUCUUCUUCUUCAUCCUCAAUCAAAUUGCACGAAAAAGAAUUUUUCUUCUUCAUCAACUUCAAUUUUCAGAAAAGAGCACGAAUCGCACGAAAAAGGUACGCCGAAACCCUAAUUCUCGAACUUUUAUUUUUUCUAAGAAGAAUAUUAUCUUUCGCUGUUUUAUGGUCACAAUUGAGUUAG